GACGAACGCUGGCGGCGUGCUUAACACAUGCAAGUCGAGCGGAAAGGCCCUUCGGGGUACUCGAGCGGCGAACGGGUGAGUAACACGUGGGUAACCUGCCCCUUGCUCUGGGAUAACUCCGGGAAACCGGGGCUAAUACCGGAUACGACCACUUUAGGCAUCUUCGGUGGUGGAAAGUUUUUCGGUCGAGGGAUGGACCCGCGGCCUAUCAGCUUGUUGGUGGGGUAAUGGCCUACCAAGGCAGUGACGGGUAGCCGGCCUGAGAGGGCGACCGGCCACACUGGGACUGAGACACGGCCCAGACUCCUACGGGAGGCAGCAGUGGGGAAUAUUGGUCAAUGGACGAAAGUCUGAACCAGCCAUGCCGCGUGGAGGAUGAAGGUCCUCUGGAUUGUAAACUUCUUUUAUAGGGACGAAAAAAGGAAAUUCUUUUCCGUCUGACGGUACCCUAUGAAUAAGCACCGGCUAACUCCGUGCCAGCAGCCGCGGUAAC
RNAcentral lists this ribosomal RNA (493 nucleotides) under uncultured bacterium. RNAcentral describes it as "bacterial SSU rRNA". It matches the Rfam family "Bacterial small subunit ribosomal RNA", at positions 28 to 524 of the family's 1533-position model. The record is from RNAcentral.